Grus americana (Whooping crane) is the source of this 639-nucleotide non-coding RNA. The record is from the annotation of a RefSeq genome assembly. NCBI's taxonomy places the organism in Eukaryota, Metazoa, Chordata, Aves, Gruiformes, Gruidae.
AUGCGGCGGUGCCGGGGCGCAGGGCUGGCGGGGCUGGCCGCGGUGCUCCUGGUGGCUAUGGGCAGAGCCCAGGUGCAGCAGGAGCCGUCGGCAGAGACCACCGAGGGCACCGGCAUCAACAUCACUUGCUCACACCCCAACAUACAGACCAGCGACUUCAUCUAUUGGUACCGUCAGCUCCCGGGCCGAGGCCCCGCAUUCCUCACGUUCGGUCAUAAAGGGACCAAAGAGGUGCCGGACCCGCCGGGGCGGCUGUGGGUGGCGGCAGACCGCCGGUCCAGCGCCCUGUGGCUCGCCCGGCCCCGGCGCGGGGACGCGGCGGUGUAUUACUGCGCCCUGAGAGACACGGGGAGAGGAGCCGGGGCUGCGGCCGGGCACGAACCACGAAGCAGGAAGGGCGGCGGGCGGGGCCGGGCGUCCCAGGCUGCCUUUGAUCUUCACAUCCCCAACGAGCUCUUCCUUGUUGGUACAUAUGAGGUCCAGCAGAACACCUGUCCUUGUUGGAUCUUCUCUCACUUGGGUGAUGAAGUUGUCGUCCAUGCACUCCAGAAAACUCCUGGCUUCCUUAUGUCCUGCUGUGUUGUCCCUCUAGCAGAUAUUGUGGUGGCUGAAGUUCCCCAUGAGGAGCAGGGCCUGUGA